Corapipo altera (White-ruffed manakin) is the source of this 705-nucleotide long non-coding RNA. RefSeq lists it as uncharacterized. The transcript has 4 exons. NCBI's taxonomy places the organism in Eukaryota, Metazoa, Chordata, Aves, Passeriformes, Pipridae. The record is from RefSeq and is a predicted model, not a curated record.
CAGCUGGAUAGUGCAGUGUGCCCUGAAAUGCUCUGAAGACAGUAAGUACCCUCGUAGUGCUAAUAUAGUAAUCACUUUUUCUACCGGCAGCUGGAUGGAGCAUAUGUGCAGUGUGCUCUCUUUGGAGAAGCUGUCUCUGUGAAUUACUGAGGUGCAGAACAAAAACAUCUGGCAUUCCCUUGUGAGGAAAGCUCAGAUAUGAAAGCUAAGGCAAGGAGCAGGAAGAGGGGUAUUCACUCUCUCCAGUGGCUGCCUGCUGAGGAAGCAUGAUGUGUGCUGAAACCCUGCUUCUCAGGAGUAACUGACCGUUGCUGCUAAUGGGAAGUAGAGAAUAAACCAUGUUAUCUUUCACUUUACUUUGCUUCUACUUUAAUAAACUACCUUAUCCCAACCCAUUUUCCAUCUUGCUCUCUGCUCUGUCCAGCUGGGAAGGGGAGUGAUAGAGCGGAUGAGUGGGCAUCUGGUGUCCAGCCAAGAUCAACACACCCCAAGGGCUCAACAUUUAGCUUCAUCAGAAGAAGGAGUUGGGGAAGAACAGCAUGAAUCAUGUCUUCACCCUGUGUACAGAGAUACAGGAUGAGGAGGCAACAGUCCUCUCACUCCCAUUCUGUGUGUUCACUGCCUGGACACACCAUUGUCUUCCCUGUGGCAUGGCAUCAUUCCAGGUAGUUUUCCCCCUGAUACAACACGGAAUUUCUAAAAAUA